GAUGAACGCUGGCGGCGUGCCUAAUACAUGCAAGUCGAGCGAACAGACGAGGAGCUUGCUCCUUCGACGUUAGCGGCGGACGGGUGAGUAACACGUAGGUAACCUACCUAUAAGACUGGGAUAACUUCGGGAAACCGGAGCUAAUACCGGAUAAUAUUUCGAACCGCAUGGUUCGAUAGUGAAAGAUGGCUUUGCUAUCACUUAUAGAUGGACCUGCGCCGUAUUAGCUAGUUGGUAAGGUAACGGCUUACCAAGGCAACGAUACGUAGCCGACCUGAGAGGGUGAUCGGCCACACUGGAACUGAGACACGGUCCAGACUCCUACGGGAGGCAGCAGUAGGGAAUCUUCCGCAAUGGGCGAAAGCCUGACGGAGCAACGCCGCGUGAGUGAUGAAGGUCUUCGGAUCGUAAAACUCUGUUAUUAGGGAAGAGCAAACGUGUAAGUAACUGUGCACGUCUUGACGGUACCUAAUCAGAAAGCCACGGCUAACUACGUGCCAGCAGCCGCCGCGG
This 513-nucleotide ribosomal RNA is filed under the name uncultured bacterium. Its description in RNAcentral is "partial 16S ribosomal RNA". It matches the Rfam family "Bacterial small subunit ribosomal RNA", at positions 28 to 523 of the family's 1533-position model. The record is from RNAcentral.